GAUCAUGGCUCAGGAUGAACGCUGGCGGCGUGCUUAACACAUGCAAGUCGAACGGAGUUUUAAGCGGAAGUUUUCGGAUGGAAGUUUAAGAACUUAGUGGCGGACGGGUGAGUAACGCGUGGGUAACCUGCCUCAUACAGGGGGAUAGCAGUUAGAAAUGACUGCUAAGACCGCAUAAUAUAGCGAAACCGCAUGAUUUUUGCUAUCAAAUAUUUAUAGGUAUGAGAUGGGCCCGCGUCUGAUUAGCUAGUUGGUGGGGUAAAAGCCUACCAAGGCGACGAUCAGUAGCCGGCUUGAGAGAGUGACCGGCCACAUUGGGACUGAGACACGGCCCAAACUCCUACGGGAGGCAGCAGUGGGGAAUAUUGGACAAUGGGGGAAACCCUGAUCCAGCGAACCGCCGCGUGAGUGAAGAAGUAUUUCGGUAUGUAAAGCUCUAUCAGCAGGGAAGAUAAUGACAGUACCUGACUAAGAAGCCCCGGCUAACUACGUGCCAGCCGCAGC
This 504-nucleotide ribosomal RNA is filed under the name uncultured bacterium. RNAcentral's name for it is "bacterial SSU rRNA". It matches the Rfam family "Bacterial small subunit ribosomal RNA", at positions 15 to 518 of the family's 1533-position model. The record is from RNAcentral.